RNAcentral lists this ribosomal RNA (326 nucleotides) under uncultured eukaryote. Its description in RNAcentral is "partial 18S ribosomal RNA". It matches the Rfam family "Eukaryotic small subunit ribosomal RNA", at positions 1470 to 1796 of the family's 1831-position model. The record is from RNAcentral.
CCCUUAGAUGUUCUGGGCUGCACGCGCGCUACACUGAUGCGUUCAACGAGUUUAUGACCUUGCCCGAUAGGGUUGGGUAAUCUUUUUAAAUCGCAUCGUGAUGGGGAUAGAUUAUUGCAAUUAUUAAUCUUCAACGAGGAAUUCCUAGUAAGCGCGAGUCAUCAGCUCGUGCUGAUUGCGUCCCUGCCCUUUGUACACACCGCCCGCCGCUCCUACCGAUUGAGUGAUCCGGUGAAUAAUUCGGACUGCAGCAGUGUUCAGUUCCUGAACGUUGCAGCGGAAAGUUUAGUGAACCUUAUCACUUAGAGGAAGGAGAAGUCGUAACA